This 495-nucleotide ribosomal RNA is filed under the name uncultured bacterium. RNAcentral describes it as "partial 16S ribosomal RNA". It matches the Rfam family "Bacterial small subunit ribosomal RNA", at positions 28 to 507 of the family's 1533-position model. The record is from RNAcentral.
GACGAACGCUGGCGGCGUGCCUAAUACAUGCAAGUCGAACGCUGAAGGAGGAGCUUGCUUCUCUGGAUGAGUUGCGAACGGGUGAGUAACGCGUAGGUAACCUGCCUGGUAGCGGGGGAUAACUAUUGGAAACGAUAGCUAAUACCGCAUAAUAGUAGAUGUUGCAUGACAUUUGCUUAAAAGGUGCAAUUGCAUCACUACCAGAUGGACCUGCGUUGUAUUAGCUAGUUGGUGGGGUAACGGCUCACCAAGGCGACGAUACAUAGCCGACCUGAGAGGGGGGUCGGCCACACUGGGACUGAGACACGGCCCAGACUCCUACGGGAGGGAGCAGGAGGGAAGCUUCGGCAAUGGACGGAAGUCUGACCGAGCAACGCCGCGGGAGUGAAGAAGGGUUUCGGAUCGUAAAGAUCUGUUGUAAGAGAAGAACGAGUGUGGGAGUGGAAAGUGCACACUGUGACGGUAGCUUACCAGAAAGGGACGGCUAACUACGUG